Trichinella zimbabwensis is the source of this 46-nucleotide non-coding RNA. The record is from Rfam. NCBI's taxonomy places the organism in Eukaryota, Metazoa, Nematoda, Enoplea, Trichinellida, Trichinellidae.
CCAACGGCCCUUUUUAGGGCCUAAAAUUUUAAUAUCAUACAUUUUU